This 74-nucleotide transfer RNA is filed under the name Promethearchaeota archaeon. Its description in RNAcentral is "Candidatus Lokiarchaeota archaeon (microbial mat metagenome) tRNA-Pro". It matches the Rfam family "tRNA". Rfam says of the family: Transfer RNA (tRNA) molecules are approximately 80 nucleotides in length. Their secondary structure includes four short double-helical elements and three loops (D, anti-codon, and T loops). Lineage: Archaea; Promethearchaeati; Promethearchaeota. The record is from RNAcentral.
GGGAGGGUAGUCUAGCUUGGUAUGAUUCCUGGUUUGGGACCAGGAGGUCGGGGGUUCGAAUCCCUCCUCUCCCA